RNAcentral lists this ribosomal RNA (465 nucleotides) under uncultured bacterium. Its description in RNAcentral is "partial 16S ribosomal RNA". It matches the Rfam family "Bacterial small subunit ribosomal RNA", at positions 28 to 507 of the family's 1533-position model. The record is from RNAcentral.
GACGAACGCUGGCGGCGUGCUUAACACAUGCAAGUCGAGCGAGGCCCCUCCUUCGGGAGGGUGUCCUAGCGGCGAACGGGUGAGUAACACGUGGGCAACCUGCCCUCAGCUCUGGGAUAACUCCGGGAAACCGGGGCUAAUACCGGAUACGACCUCCCCGGGCAUCUGCGGAGGUGGAAAGUUUUUCGGCUGAGGAUGGGCCCGCGGCCUGUCAGCUAGUUGGUGGGGUAGUGGCCCACCAAGGCGACGACGGGUAGCCGGCCUGAGAGGGCGACCGGCCACACUGGGACUGAGACACGGCCCAGACUCCUACGGGAGGCAGCAGUGGGGAAUAUUGCGCAAUGGGCGAAAGCCUGACGCAGCGACGCCGCGUGAGGGACGAAGGCCUUCGGGUUGUAAACCGCUUUCAGCAGGGACGAAGCGAAAGUGACGGUACCUGCAGAAGAAGCACCGGCCAACUACGUG